Molecule: long non-coding RNA, 776 nt
Organism: Larimichthys crocea (large yellow croaker)
Lineage: Eukaryota; Metazoa; Chordata; Actinopteri; Sciaenidae
Exons: 4
Source: RefSeq, a predicted model, not a curated record
CACAGCAGCAGCAGCAGCAGCAGCCUGACCCGGUUCAACCUGAAUGGGACGCAGCCUUAAUCAUCAUCAUUGGCAACACCUGUGUCAAAAUGGCCGCUGUCAGAAAGGUCUACAGUCCACACCUGUGCUGCGUCUGCCAACAGGGAACUGGCUGAGAAGUUGGUGUCAUCUUGUUGGCCAGAGGACGACUUGGAGGAUGGAUAUCUGUGCUUGAGUUCAACUUAAACUUGCUUUUAAGUGCAACAUUUGGAAGACCCUGCCUCUCUCCAGCCAGGCCCAUGUGAUGACAACUAAGCUAUCUCCAUGACAACUGACUGAACUUCAUCUUCUGCGGAAGACCAAGAAAUACCAUUGACAGCUUUGGAAAAAGCAACAAGUACCCGCACAUCUCGGUUCUGCUCUGACAGGUAACCCAUCUGACAUUCAAAUUGAGACUUCCCUGUGAACAAGACCUGCAGGGUAUUUGCAAGUGCAUUGAUCCCACAAGAGCUGGGAUUUCCAAAUGAAUGGAUUGGAUGCAGCCAGGCAGUGCAACGUGGUUUCUCCCGAUUACUCCUCUCCAUCUGCUCAUUUAACUAGAGAGUAAAAGGCCAAAGAGAGAAAUGCAGCGACAGUUGCAAGAGAAGAGAAAGCUUAGAAAUUUGAGAUGAACUGAGGGCCAAUAUAGAGAUGGCAUCCUGUCUAGCCCCAUCCAAGUAGGUCAUUAGUGCUGCUGCAUCAUGAAGAAGACAGGAGCUUGACAACAAAAUUUCUAGUUUUGGAGAAGCCAUCACACU